Long non-coding RNA from Xenia sp. Carnegie-2017, 538 nucleotides. RefSeq lists it as uncharacterized. The transcript has 2 exons. NCBI's taxonomy places the organism in Eukaryota, Metazoa, Cnidaria, Anthozoa, Malacalcyonacea, Xeniidae. The record is from RefSeq and is a predicted model, not a curated record.
AUUGGUUAUUGUGGUAUUCCAUCUAAGGAGUCAAGAGAAUCAAGCGACAAGAUAAUUAGGAGCUGCAAAUUCUUUGUCUGCAUUGUACAUAUUUAUAACUGGAGUUGAAACAGUGACCCCACUUGGCAUAGAAAAUAACAUCACUGUGAAAUUCAAGCAUGGAUGCAAAGCUGGUUGUAGAUGCAGACCAACAGCCUCUACCUGUGCUACAAGCUUAACACUCCCAGUUCAUAUUGAUGAUUCAAAGCAAUUUGAAGAUUUAAUGGAUGCUACACUUGCAGAAAGUUCUGGUUUUGGCUUCAUUUAAAGAAUACAGUAUCAAUUAUAUAUUUCAAAGACAUUUCUCUCUUAAAACGUUUUUAAUGUUAAGACAACUUAAAAUUUUUGUUAGAUAACACAAACAUUAUUUUGCAUUAGCAGUGCAAAUAAUUCUGAUGCUUCCUGAUAGUUUUCAGGAUAUUGUAAUCUUUGCAACUCAACCAAGUAAUGGAAAUAAUCUUGAAAAGUAUUAUCAUACAACAAUUCAUUAUGGCAAGCA